Pygocentrus nattereri (red-bellied piranha) is the source of this 2238-nucleotide long non-coding RNA. RefSeq lists it as uncharacterized. Lineage: Eukaryota; Metazoa; Chordata; Actinopteri; Characiformes; Serrasalmidae. The record is from RefSeq and is a predicted model, not a curated record. The transcript has 2 exons.
CACAGCGGUAUGUGAGGAAUAUUAGCUCCCUUGGUUUUUUGUCGUUCCUCGUUGGUUUGUGAUGGUUGUUUAGUGCAGCUGCGGGGAGCUGGGGCCGUGGAGCUGUGCGGCCGAAUGGAAAAGGGUUUUGUACAGUUCGUGUUGAUGGUAGCCGGGAGAGUUUUUACAGGCUGGUGAUGAAAUGAACCUCAGUAGAGCGCCGAGCUGCUCACGCUUUCCACAAACAUCCCUCAGAUCAUGGACGACGGAAAAAUACAGAGUCGACAGAGUUCUGUGCUCUGUGUUUAAGUUCAUGUUCCUGCAGAGAUGAUGGUGUUUUGCUUGUAAAACGCCUUUUUUACUUCCGUUUCCCACCUUUUGCAGUCAGCACUCCGGUGUCAACUGUGCUUGCAAUUGGACCAGAACAUCUUUAUCUGCAUGGCAACCAGUCCUCCCACCAACCACAAGUUAAUGUGCUCAUGACCUCCUAUAUACAGUAACCUCACAGGCUAAUUGCAAGAGGUGGGGAAGUGAGGUAAUUGUUGGGAAACAGAGGUCACCUGUAGGAACAUUCAAGUGGCUUUUUGUUACAGGCAGGGAGCCACAGCAACAUGGCAAGUCCAUCUAAGAAAGCUAGAGUGGACACUCCAGCUCCAGGAGAACUGCAGGGUUUCGUCCACAAUGUAAGCCCUGAAAAAAUCUCAGCUAAGAACAAGUAUUUCAGUUUCAUUUUACAAGUGAGCCGGCAUCAAUACCACCGUGGGGUGGUCUUCACUGCUGAUAAGCACAGGGAGUUUGAGCGUGCGGCGCAGACAUGUACACCUGUUCGGCUGAGGAACGUCAGGAAAACUUUAGGGAAGUCAUUUAAAUCAAUAGCCUAAGUAAAGCUUGAAGUAAGUUUUAUAAUUUCAGAAGUACAAGUUUGCACCAAUGUUGAUUAUUUUAUAAGGUUUUGGGGAAGAGUUCGAUGUUCAGUUACAUCAAGGCUCAUCACUUGAAGUUGGAGACGUAGAGUUCGGGAUGAAGCCUCCGCCAGACAGUCGAGUUCUGAAGGUUAAAAAUAUAUUAGAUCUUCAUGGUCAAACAAAAAUCAGGAAAGUAGCAGCGAAGGUUAUUUUUCUGCAGACCAGCUCUGAGGUGGUGAGUGCCUUCGGGGAUGCUGGAUUGCAGAUGACGCAGGGAAAAUCCGGCUACUUUUAUAUGACGCUGUGAUUCCUCGGGUUAGUGUGGACCAAUCAUAUGAAUUCCGCUACAUCUCCACCUGCAGCCAGGGUGGACUACACGACAACAACACGCUCAACCACUGUACAAGAAAUUCCUGCCAUUGAGGUACCAGAAGCAUUUUCCUACUGUGAAGCACCAGCUGAAGUAAUCUUCAGGAGCAAAGGCUUGGUGAGUGGAAUUGAGCUGCGGGAGAGACGAACCUACAGUCACUGCCGUCAAACGCAAACUGCGUUUGAUCGCAAAUCGUUAAACCACAGGUGCCAGUCGUGUCGCCUACUACAGAAGACAGCAUCGUUUUCUGCAAAGGUUAGCGGCACUGUGGUACUUACUUGUGGAAGUGCAGAUGUUCAUCUUACUCUCACAAUGACUGUGCUGAGGGAAUUUCUAGAGUGUAACCAGCUGUGUCAUCUCCUCCAAGAUGUAGAAAGCAUUGAGGAGUAUCUCCUCAAUACUCCACAGUUGUUCAUUGAACAUAAUGAGGCAAACACGGUGACUUCAAUGACAUUGGGCACAGAGGUGGCCAGUCUGAAAUGCUCAGCCAGUCUUCCACUGGAGACGCCCCGAGGCCAACCCUCCACAAAGCGAAUGGAAUGUUGCAAACGUCAGUACUGCUGCAGGUUCUGCUGAAAUCCAGGAGGAAGACCAAGUACAUGAUAUGGCUCAGGCCCUGGAACUGUUGGAACAAAACCCUUAAUUAACCAUAAGGCAUUUGUUGCCAUCAGGUGGUGCUAUGCUGGGUUGGUUUAGCUGUCUUGAUGCUUUUUAAGGGCCAUUUGAGUUUCAAUAUUGAUGCUUUGUGUAACUUGUAGAAAUGUAAAUGUUGUAUUGCAAUUAUUUGUUUACUGUUUAGUGAUUAUAUUAACUUUUAAUGAUGUUAAAUGAUGCUUUUUAUUUCAGACGAUUUCUGUUUCUAUUUAUCCUACCAAUAUGAAGAUGGUGUGUUAUGUUCAUGAAAAUGUUUACGCAGUUCAUGUGUGUUACUUGCAUGUUUACUUGUUUUUUUUUCUUGUUAUUAAUAAAAUGUUUUAUAAUGUU